GACGAACGCUGGCGGCGUGCCUAAUACAUGCAAGUCGAACGCUUUGAUUUUCACCGGAGCUUGCUCCACCGAAAAUCAAAGAGUGGCGGACGGGUGAGUAACACGUGGGCAACCUGCCCAACAGAGGGGGAUAACACUUGGAAACAGGCGCUAAUACCGCAUAAUUUGUUUUUCCGCAUGGAAGAAUAAUAAAAGACGCUUCGGUGUCACUGUUGGAUGGGCCCGCGCUGCAUUAGUUAGUUGGUGGGGUAACGGCCUACCAAGACCAUGAUGCAUAGCCGACCUGAGAGGGUGAUCGGCCACACUGGGACUGAGACACGGCCCAGACUCCUACGGGAGGCAGCAGUAGGGAAUCUUCGGCAAUGGACGAAAGUCUGACCGAGCAACGCCGCGUGAGUGAAGAAGGUUUUCGGAUCGUAAAACUCUGUUGUUAGAGAAGAACAAGUGAGAGAGUUACUGUUCUCACCUUGACGGUAUCUAACCAGAAAGCCACGGCUAACUACGUGCCAGCAGCCGCGGUAAUACGUAGGUGGCAAGCGUUGUCCGGAUUUAUUGGGCGUAAAGCGAGCGCAGGCGGUUUCUUAAGUCUGAUGUGAAAGCCCUCGGCUCAACCGAGGAAGGUCAUUGGAAACUGGGGAACUUGAGUGCAGAAGAGGAGAGUGGAAUUCCAUGUGUAGCGGUGAAAUGCGUAGAUAUAUGGAGGAACACCAGUGGCGAAGGCGACUCUCUGGUCUGUAACUGACGCUGAGGCUCGAAAGCGUGGGGAGCAAACAGG
RNAcentral lists this ribosomal RNA (775 nucleotides) under uncultured bacterium. RNAcentral describes it as "bacterial SSU rRNA". It matches the Rfam family "Bacterial small subunit ribosomal RNA", at positions 28 to 776 of the family's 1533-position model. The record is from RNAcentral.